Molecule: transfer RNA, 88 nt
Filed under: Puniceicoccus vermicola
Lineage: Bacteria; Pseudomonadati; Verrucomicrobiota; Opitutia; Puniceicoccales; Puniceicoccaceae
Description: tRNA-Ser
Rfam family: tRNA
About the family: Transfer RNA (tRNA) molecules are approximately 80 nucleotides in length.
Source: RNAcentral
GGAAGGGUGGCAGAGUGGUCGAUUGCGGCGGUCUUGAAAACCGCUGAGGUGAAAGCCUCCGGGGGUUCGAAUCCCUCCCCUUCCGCCA